Molecule: long non-coding RNA, 1333 nt
Filed under: Struthio camelus australis
Lineage: Eukaryota; Metazoa; Chordata; Aves; Struthioniformes; Struthionidae
Description: lncRNA (ENSSCUG00000001598.1)
Source: RNAcentral
NNNNNNNNNNNNNNNNNNNNNNNNNNNNNGUGGGGACCGACCCCAUUGUGGUAUGGGGACAUGGGGAGUGACGCCAUCGUGUUAUGGGGACAUGAGGACCGACCCCCAUCGUGGUGUUGGGACACAGGAACAAGGGCUCCGACCCCAUCGUGUUAUGGGGACACGAGGACCGACCCCCAUCGUGGUGUUGGGACACAGGAACAAGGGCUCCGACCCCAUCGUGUUAUGGGGACACGAGGACCGACCCCCAUCGUGGUGUUGGGACACAGGAACAAGGGCUCCGACCCCAUCGUGUUAUGGGGACACGAGGACCGACCCCCAUCGUGGUGUUGGGACACAGGAACAAGGGCUCUGACGCCAUCGUGUUAUGGGGACACGAGGACCGACCCCCAUCGUGGUGUUGGGACACAGGAACAAGGGCUCCGACCCCAUCGUGGUGUUGGGACACGGGAACAAGGGCUCCGACCCCCGCGGGGUCAGGAACAAGGGCUCCGACCCCAUCGUGUUAUGGGGACACGAGGACCGACCCCCAUCGUGGUGUUGGGACACAGGAACAAGGGCUCCGACCCCAUCGUGUUAUGGGGACACGAGGACCGACCCCCAUCGUGGUGUUGGGACACAGGAACAAGGGCUCCGACCCCAUCGUGGUGUUGGGACACGGGAACAAGGGCUCCGACCCCGUCGUGGUAUGGGGAUGUGGGGACUGACCCCAUCGUGGUGGUGGGACACAGGAACAAGGGCUCCGACCGCAUCGUGGUAUGGGGAUGCUGGGAUUGACCCCCAUCCUGGCAAAGGGACAUGGAAACAUGGGAGCCAACCCCAUCGUGUUAUGGGGACACGGGGCCCGACCCCAUCGUGGUGUGGGGACGCAGUCAUCGACUGCAUCCUGGUGUUGCAAUGUGAGGAGCGACCCCCCAUCAUGGUGUGGGGACGCGGGGACCGACCGCAUCGUGGUAUGGGGAUGUGGGGACCAACCCCAUCCUGGUGUGGGGUCAUGGGGAUCGACCCCAUCAUGGUGUGGGAAUGUGGGGACCGACCCCUUUGUGGAAUGGGGAUGUGGGGAUCGACUCCAUCCUGGUGUGGGGAUGUGAGGAGUGACCCCAUUAUGGUGUGGGGAUGCAGGGACCAACCCCAUCGUGGUAUGGGGAUGUGGGGACCAACCCCAUCCUGGUGUGGGGACAUGGGAACAAAGGGACGGCCCCAUCGUGGCGUAGGGACACGGGGACUGACCCAGCCCGGUGUGGGGAUACAGGUGACGCGGGAUCCCUCCCCAUCCCACCGCAGCCACCACGAGUCCCACAGCCCCCCAGCCCCACACCUUGGUUUCCGGGGC